UCGACUGCCAGUGAUUCGAGACGGCCCUCGCGGUGCUCUAGAUUAGCCAGUAACACGUGGAUAAUCUGCCCUAUGGUGGAGGAUAACCCCGGGAAACUGGGGAUAAUACUCCAUAAGUCAGGAGUACUGGAAUGUCUCCUAACUGAAAGUUGCGGCGCCAUAGGAUGAAUCUGCGGCCGAUUAGGUAGUUGUUGGGGUAACGGCCCAACAAGCCCGUAAUCGGUACGGGUUGUGGGAGCAAGAGCCCGGAGAUGGAAUCUGAGACACGAUUCCAGGCCCUACGGGGCGCAGCAGGCGCGAAAACUUUACAAUGCAGGAAACUGUGAUAAGGGAACCCCGAGUGCCCGUAAACGCGGGCUGUCCCGGUGUUUAAAACACAUCGGAAGAAAGGGCCGGGCAAGACCGGUGCCAGCCGCCGCGGUAAUACCGGCGGCUCGAGUGGUGACCACUUUUAUUGGGCUUAAAGCGUUCGUAGCUUGAUUUUUAAGUCUCUUGGGAAAUCUCACGGCUUAACUGUGAGGCGUCUAAGAGAUACUGGGAAUCUAGGGACCGGGAGAGGUAAGAGGUACUUUCAGGGGUAGAAGUGAAAUUCUUGUAAUUCUUGGAGGGAACAACCGGAUGGCGAAGACCACUCUUAUACAGAACGCCCUCGCAAAGUGAGGAACACAAAGGCUGUGGGGAGCACGACAGGAGAUAUAGAUAACCGGAUUCCCACCGCCCCACAUUGCGCGUUAGUAGGUGGCGCUGUCUACUACAGAUAUAUAACAGGUGCGCGCGAAGAUAUAAAACAU
RNAcentral lists this ribosomal RNA (791 nucleotides) under uncultured methanogenic archaeon. Its description in RNAcentral is "bacterial SSU rRNA". It matches the Rfam family "Archaeal small subunit ribosomal RNA", at positions 40 to 822 of the family's 1478-position model. The record is from RNAcentral. Lineage: Archaea; Methanobacteriati; Methanobacteriota.